This 291-nucleotide ribosomal RNA is filed under the name uncultured bacterium. RNAcentral describes it as "partial 16S ribosomal RNA". It matches the Rfam family "Archaeal small subunit ribosomal RNA", at positions 455 to 747 of the family's 1478-position model. The record is from RNAcentral.
AUGCCAGCAGCCGCGGUAAUACCGGCAGCCCGAGUGAUGGCCGAUCUUAUUGGGCCUAAAGCGUCCGUAGCUGGCUGCGCAAGUCCGUCGGGAAAUCCACUCGCCCAACGAGUGGGCGUCCGACGGAAACUGCACAGCUUGGGACCGGAAGGCUCGAAGGGUACGUUCGGGGUAGGAGUGAAAUCCCAUAAUCCCGCACGGACCACCGAUGGCGAAAGCACUUCGAGAAAACGGAUCCGACAGUGAGGGACGAAAGCCAGGGUCUCCAACCGGAUUAGAUACCCUAUAUCC